CUCUAUCUAGUCUAGAGGCUAGGACCCCUGGUUUUCAACCAGGCUGAGCAGGUUUAAUUCCUGUGCAGAGA
RNAcentral lists this transfer RNA (71 nucleotides) under Sus scrofa (pig). It matches the Rfam family "tRNA". From Rfam's summary of the family: Transfer RNA (tRNA) molecules are approximately 80 nucleotides in length. The record is from Rfam by way of RNAcentral. Lineage: Eukaryota; Metazoa; Chordata; Mammalia; Artiodactyla; Suidae.